RNAcentral lists this ribosomal RNA (367 nucleotides) under uncultured bacterium. Its description in RNAcentral is "bacterial SSU rRNA". It matches the Rfam family "Bacterial small subunit ribosomal RNA", at positions 527 to 896 of the family's 1533-position model. The record is from RNAcentral.
GGAGGAUGCAAGCGUUAUCCGGAUUUAUUGGGUUUAAAGGGUGCGUAGGCGGACUAAUAAGUCAGUGGUGAAAUCUUGCGGCUCAACCGUAAUAUUGCCAUUGAUACUGUUAGUCUUGAAUGCAGUUGAGGUAGGCGGAAUGUGUAAUGUAGCGGUGAAAUGCUUAGAUAUUACACAGAACACCGAUUGCGAAGGCAGCUUGCUAAACUGUGAUUGACGCUGAUGCACGAAAGCGUGGGGAUCAAACAGGAUUAGAUACCCUGGUAGUCCACGCUGUAAACGAUGAUUACUCGUUGUUUGCGAUAUAUUGCAAGCGACUGAGCGAAAGCAUUAAGUAAUCCACCUGGGGAGUACGUUCGCAAGAAUG